RNAcentral lists this ribosomal RNA (493 nucleotides) under uncultured bacterium. Its description in RNAcentral is "partial 16S ribosomal RNA". It matches the Rfam family "Bacterial small subunit ribosomal RNA", at positions 28 to 507 of the family's 1533-position model. The record is from RNAcentral.
GACGAACGCUGGCGGCGUGCUUAACACAUGCAAGUCGAACGGUUAAGCACCUUCCUUUUGGUGUGUGUGGUUGAGUGGCGAACGUGUGAGUAACACGUGAGUAACCUUCCCCCUUCUUCUGGAUAACCGCAUGAAAGUGUGUCUAAUACGGGAUAUUCUGGGUCUGUCGCAUGGCUGACCUGGUUAAGAUAUUGUUUCGUUGGGGGAUGGGCUCGCGGUCUAUCAGCUUGUUGGUGGGGUGAUGGCCUACCAAGGCGGUGUCGGGUAGACGGCCUGAGAGGGUGGACGGUAAGAGAGGGACUGAGAGAAGGAGAAGACUACGACGGGAGGCAGAAGGGGGGAAUAGUGAACAAUGGGAGAAAGGAUGAAGCAGCGACGAGGCGUGAGGGAUGGAGGACUGAGGGUUGUAAACCUCUUUCGGGAGUGAAGAAGGGCUGUCCAUUUUGUGGGUGGGUUGACGGUAGCUGGAGAAGAAGCGCCGGCUAACUACGUG